Molecule: RNA transcript, 958 nt
Organism: Carlito syrichta (Philippine tarsier)
Lineage: Eukaryota; Metazoa; Chordata; Mammalia; Primates; Tarsiidae
Gene name: T-cell surface glycoprotein CD1e, membrane-associated-like
Exons: 6
Source: RefSeq, a predicted model, not a curated record
AUGCUGCUCUGCCUCUUCCAUCUCUUUGAGUGCCUUUGCUGCCCUUAGGAAAGCACAGCCGCCCCCCAGGCUCUGGGAUCCCACCACAUCUACCAGCAGUAGAAAAGUCUCUCUCCUUUUGCAUGCUCCAGAUCUCCUCCUUGCCAACCACAGCUGAGUGUACACCCAGGGCUCAGGCUGGCUGGGCAAGCUGCAGACUCUUGACUGGGGCAGUGUCUUAGGCACCAUCGACUCUCUGAGGCCCUGUACAGUGAGACUUCAGCAAAGAGGAGCAGAAGUACUUACAGGACCUGUUCUGGUUGUACUUUCAUGGUUUUCCUCAGGAAGUACAGACCUUUGCAGGUCAAUUUCACUUUGAAUGCCCCUUUGAGCUCCAGAUAUCAGCCAGCUGUAGAAUUCAUGGGGCAUAUCAAGCAUCAGAUAUCCUGAGUUUCCAAGUACGUUCCUGGGAGCUAGCUCCAGGAGCAGGGAGCCGAGCCCAGAACUUCUAUAAGGUGCUCAAUCAAUACCAAGAUAUUAAAGAAACAGUAUGGGACCUCCUUGGUCACACCUGCCCUCGAUUUCUGGCAGACCCCCUUGAAGCAGGGAAGUCAGAACUGGAAUGACAAGUGAAGCUCAAGGCCUGACUGUCUAGUGGCCCCAGUCCCAGGCCUGGCCGUCUGUAGCUGGUGUGCCACGUCUCAGGAUUCUACCCAAUGCCUGUGUGGGUUAUGUGGAUGUGGGGUGACCAGGAGCAACGAGGCACUCAGAGAGGGGAUGUCCUGCCCAGCGCUGAUGGGACAUGGUAUCUCCAAGCAACCCUGGAUGUUGUGGCUGGGGAGGCGGCUGGCCUGUACUGUCGGGUCAAGCACAGCAGUCUCUGGGGUGGAUAUUCCAUCCUUCUGUUCUUGAUCUGUUUGUAGCAGUUAUCGUGGUCAUGUUGGCUAUAAUCGACUCAAGGUUUAAAAAACAGAGGUGA